RNAcentral lists this long non-coding RNA (420 nucleotides) under Mus pahari (shrew mouse). Its description in RNAcentral is "predicted gene, 37958 (MGP_PahariEiJ_G0005891.1)". Lineage: Eukaryota; Metazoa; Chordata; Mammalia; Rodentia; Muridae. The record is from RNAcentral.
GCAAUCCUUGGUCUCUCAGGCAGUCUUCAAUUUGAGCCUCCUGGAGAAUGCCUUGCGGCUGCGCAGUCCCCGGCAGUUACAUAGAGGUGACCACUGCCAUUCUUCCCGAAACCAGGGAUGACAGAGGGAUGCCCACGCGGUACUGGGUCACCCACCAGGGGCUCAUCCCCGGGAAGGCUAAUGUUGCCUCAAUUAUUUGUUGACUGCUUACAGCAAUUUAUUUAGAGGUAGGGACCCAUGAGAUUUCCCCCAAUUGUGUAGGAUGACUGUUGAUGGAAUUACCCAGGUCUUUGUUUAGGCAGCCAUAUUGCUGAGAUUUGAUGGGUGUGGCUUCCCUGACUAGUUAGAAGGCACAAUCUCACGGCAGACUUCCUGGUCCUCUCAGUCUCUUACUUUACUAAAAUUGUCCUUCUGUUUCUA